UCAUAUGUACAUGCAUAUAGUGUUAAUGCAUUGGAUCCCAUUAUAAUUCCACAAUUAAACAUGUUUGGGAUAAAUUAGUAUUUGGAUGGGUGACCUCCCAAGAAUUCCUAGUGUUAUACAUGCC
Non-coding RNA from Picea glauca (white spruce), 124 nucleotides. The record is from Rfam. NCBI's taxonomy places the organism in Eukaryota, Viridiplantae, Streptophyta, Pinopsida, Pinales, Pinaceae.